Molecule: ribosomal RNA, 581 nt
Filed under: Pseudotachycines deformis
Lineage: Eukaryota; Metazoa; Arthropoda; Insecta; Orthoptera; Rhaphidophoridae
Description: SSU rRNA
Rfam family: Eukaryotic small subunit ribosomal RNA
Source: RNAcentral
GUCCUGCCAGUAGUCAUAUGCUUGUCUCAAAGAUUAAGCCAUGCAUGUCUCAGUGCAAGCCACAUUAAGGUGAAACCGCGAAUGGCUCAUUAAAUCAGUUAUGGUUCCUUAGUAUCGUACUCCAAUUACUUGGAUAACUGUGGUAAUUCUAGAGCUAAUACAUGCAAACAGAGCUCUGACCAGAAAUGGAAAGAGCGCUUUUAUUAGAUCAAAACCAAUCGGUUGGCUUGUCCGAUCCGUUUGCCUUGGUGACUCUGAAUAACUUUUGGCUGAUCGCACGGUCUCAGUACCGGCGACGCAUCUUUCAAAUGUCUGCCUUAUCAACUUACGAUGGUAGGUUCUGCGCCUACCAUGGUUGUAACGGGUAACGGGGAAUCAGGGUUCGAUUCCGGAGAGGGAGCCUGAGAAACGGCUACCACAUCCAAGGAAGGCAGCAGGCGCGCAAAUUACCCACUCCCGGCACGGGGAGGUAGUGACGAAAAAUAACGAUACGGGACUCAUCCGAGGCCCCGUAAUCGGAAUGAGCACACUUUAAAUCCUUUAACGAGUAUCCAUUGGAGGGCAAGUCUGGUGCCAGCAGC